AAGUCGUAACAAGGUUUCCGUAGGUGAACCUGCGGAAGGAUCAUUCACAACAAGUGUUUAUGGCACUUUCAAAUCCAUACCCACCUUGUGUGCAUCGUAAAGGCCCCUUCUUCAAAAGAAGACUGGGCUUCAUUUUCUCACACACACGUCUUCAAUUGCAAGUCUAAACAUUCAGAGUAAUCAAAAAACUCGAAUACAACUUUCAACAACGGAUCUCUUGGCUCUC
RNAcentral lists this unclassified non-coding RNA (226 nucleotides) under Mortierella sp. Its description in RNAcentral is "partial internal transcribed spacer region". The stretch from base 1 to 46 matches the Rfam family "Eukaryotic small subunit ribosomal RNA", at positions 1786 to 1831 of the family's 1831-position model. The record is from RNAcentral. Lineage: Eukaryota; Fungi; Mortierellomycota; Mortierellomycetes; Mortierellales; Mortierellaceae.